AAAAAAACAUUUGUUUUUUAUAUAUUCAAAUGAAUUUAUUGAGGCCAUUUAGAAAAAUGUGUAUGAACUGCAAGCCUUAAAAAGAGUCAGCUGCUUUUAUUAUUUUGAAGAUCCUUUAAUGAGGUAAUUUCCUGUUUAUUAUGGAGCUCCGCCCACUUGUCUGCAGUAGCUUUUGAAAUGUGAGAAGGUGGGAUAGAAGACUCAUUAAAAGGCCAGAGACACCAGCCAUUAGGUGGCUCUGCAUUCAUUACUGUUGACCAUUAACAGCAUUGUGUCAUAACGUCCUCGUCCAACCCACCAUCCUCCCCAUCUUUGCCUCUCCCAUGUUAUUUGGCUCCAUUCAAGCCUGCGUCUUCAUCUCCACCACCAACGCCUGGACUCCACGGGGUCCUGUCCUAAUCUCUAUCACUGCUGGACCUUCAGGUCAAGGUCACCAGCAUUCGGUAAAGAUUUUGGUGCUGUCUUCAUGCAGCAAGCGUGUUAAUUCCUGGAAGAGAUGAGCUGCAGUGGACCGACCAACAGCUCAGACGUCUGGCGCUUCGAGGAGGCUGCUGCCGGUCUGAUCAGCUUUGUUCCAAAACAAUCGAAACCUGAAAUGCCCUGAAAGGGAGACCGACAGGAUUAGAGAAGUUGCUGUCUGUUGUUGUCUUAACACCAGUGUUUCAGAGAUAAAACAUAAAAUUAUUCAGAGUUCGCUUUUAAUGCUGUUGUUUUCUUCUCUGCCCUGGUUUUAUACUGUAAAUCCAGGCUUAGUCUAUGAAACACCUUGAGGCUAUUUUUAAUGUUAGUAAAUCAAGGAUGUUGUCUAAAUACACUUUCAUAUAUAUAGCCUCAGACAGGAGUCACUGCAAUCAUUUGCAUCUGUAUGUAUUAUUGUAGGGUCUACCUUACAAGCACCUUGAGGCGACUUGUUGUGAUUUGGCGCUGUAUAAAUAAAAUUGAAUUGAAUUGAAUCAGGCAGUGUGAGCCAGAGCAGAAGGGGUUCAAGACCCUCACAGUGGUGCAGAAGAAAAUCUUUCAAGCAGACUAAAUAUCUCCUGCUCACCUACUUUAUAUUGAUUGGAACUUUUUUCUGAGGCCCAGUCAUGUUUGUUGGUGUUACUAUUUUUUUUUUUUUUUUUUCUUCACUGACAAAUUUGAUGUUUUAUUAAAUAAUUAAAUAUUUUUUUCCAAGAGUGAGAUGAGAACAAAAAAGCACUGGAGCUGGACACUGAUUAGUAUAACUUUCAUCUGGGUUUCGAGUGAAAUCGUGUUACAUAAUUCAUAUAUAACUCAAACCUGAGCUAUCAGUUCUUCAGAUUUCAUGUCCUGUUGAUUUUGACAGGUGGCACUGACUUAAAGUGCAUGCAUUGUGUAAAAAA
RNAcentral lists this long non-coding RNA (1361 nucleotides) under Oreochromis niloticus (Nile tilapia). RNAcentral's name for it is "lncRNA (ENSONIG00000024399.2)". The record is from RNAcentral. Lineage: Eukaryota; Metazoa; Chordata; Actinopteri; Cichliformes; Cichlidae.